CCUACGGGAGGCAGCAGUGGGGAAUAUUGGGCAAUGGAGGCAACCCUGACCCAGCAACGCCGCGUGAAUGAUGAAGGUCUUCGGAUUGUAAAGUUCUGUGAUGGGGGAUGAACACAAUGACGGUACCCCACUAGCAAGCCACGGCUAACUACGUGCCAGCAGCAGCGGUAAUACGUAGGUGGCAAGAGUUAUCCGGGAUGACUGGGCGUAAAGGGUGCGUAGGUGGGUUAGUAAGUUGGCGGUGUAAUUCCGGGGCUCAACCUCGGCGCUACCGCGAAGACUAUUAGACUAGAGUGCGGGAGGGGUAAGUGGAAUUCCUGGUGUAGCGGUGGAAUGCGUAGAUAUUAGGAAGAACAUCAGGGGCGAAGGCGACUUACUGGACUGUAACUGACACUGAGGCACGAAAGCGUGGGGAGCAAACAGGAUUAGAUACCCUUGUAGUC
RNAcentral lists this ribosomal RNA (443 nucleotides) under uncultured bacterium. Its description in RNAcentral is "partial 16S ribosomal RNA". It matches the Rfam family "Bacterial small subunit ribosomal RNA", at positions 338 to 795 of the family's 1533-position model. The record is from RNAcentral.